This is a long non-coding RNA of Populus euphratica (Euphrates poplar), 803 nucleotides long. RefSeq lists it as uncharacterized. The record is from RefSeq and is a predicted model, not a curated record. The transcript is spliced from 3 exons. Lineage: Eukaryota; Viridiplantae; Streptophyta; Magnoliopsida; Malpighiales; Salicaceae.
ACCAAGUACCCCUUCCUCUGAAGGUUCCAUGGACCGUUUGGGUGUUGUCGAAAGAGAAUCUGUUCAACCUAUUUAAAAUAUACAUUUGAAUUGCUUGUUUCCUAGAUUUGUGGUCCGUACGAGUCCUUAACUUUUCCAUCUACAUAUUGCAUGUAAUUAGGUCGUUAGUUUUUGAAACAUGAAGGCUCCCUGCUUGCAUUAUUAUAUAGUACUGCGCCUAAACUCUAGGAAGCUUUGAAGGCCUUAUGAUAUUCUGCCUUUCAUAGAGAAGAACUGUGUGGUUAUCUUAGCAGUGGAAGGACCCAUUGGUUGGCAAGGAAAGGAUCCAUCAACACAUUUUAGAAAUUCAACGGUCUGAGUCAUGAAUAUGUAUAUUUCAUGAUGAACCUUUCCACUCCAACAAUCUGUAAGUUCUUCAUGGGGGUGUAAGAGAAAACUUUCCCCGUAAGAAUCUCUUGGUCUUCAUUCAUAGUGUCAGUUAGUGGUUCAAAACUUAUUUAUCUUUUGUCUACAUGUAUAUUGAUAGGUCUUUGGCAAUGAGACAAAAUUCAGAACCUUGGAAAAGGUUAAUGGGCAGAAGUUUCUGUAAAGAUUCUAAUUUGACCAAGGCAUUGGAGACAUAUAUGUGGAUUAUGUUAUUACACAAAGUGCAAAUGUUGCUGUAGGCUCUGAAUAUGGGUGGCAAAACUUAUACCUGUAAAGAAGCUAGUUGAUGCUAAUGACCAAGGUAUGCUCUCUUGUUCGAUCAAAUCAUUUCAAUGUUCAAACUGACAAAAUUAUUUUGAAAUGCUAACUUCAGUAUG